This 327-nucleotide RNase P RNA is filed under the name marine eukaryotic metagenome. RNAcentral describes it as "Bacterial RNase P class A". It matches the Rfam family "Bacterial RNase P class A". From Rfam's summary of the family: Ribonuclease P (RNase P) is a ubiquitous endoribonuclease, found in archaea, bacteria and eukarya as well as chloroplasts and mitochondria. Its best characterised activity is the generation of mature 5'-ends of tRNAs by cleaving the 5'-leader elements of precursor-tRNAs. Cellular RNase Ps are ribonucleoproteins. The record is from RNAcentral.
GGUGCAUUUCUUGGAUCAGGGCAGGGUGGAGGAAAGUCCGGGCUCCACAGGACAGGGUGCCAGGUAACGCCUGGGAGGCGUGAGCCUACGGAAAGUGCCACAGAAAAUAUACCGCCCCGAAAGGGGUAAGGGUGAAAUGGUGCGGUAAGAGCGCACCGCGAGCCUGGUAACAGUCUCGGCAUGGUAAACCCCACCCGGAGCAAGGCCAAAUAGAGGGGCUAUGGUGCGGUCCGCACUGUCCCCGGGUAGGCCGCUUGAGGUUUGCGGUGACGCAAAUCCCAGAUGAAUGAUUGUCCCAGACAGAACCCGGCUUAUCGGCCGCCUCCU